This 774-nucleotide ribosomal RNA is filed under the name uncultured bacterium. Its description in RNAcentral is "bacterial SSU rRNA". It matches the Rfam family "Bacterial small subunit ribosomal RNA", at positions 109 to 886 of the family's 1533-position model. The record is from RNAcentral.
CGUAACGCGUAUGCAAUCUACCUUUUACAGAGGGAUAGCCCAGAGAAAUUUGGAUUAAUACCUCAUAGUAUAAUGACUCGGCAUCGAGAUAUUAUUAAAGUCACAACGGUAAAAGAUGAGCAUGCGUCCCAUUAGCUUGUUGGUAAGGUAACGGCUUACCAAGGCAACGAUGGGUAGGGGUCCUGAGAGGGAGAUCCCCCACACUGGUACUGAGACACGGACCAGACUCCUACGGGAGGCAGCAGUGAGGAAUAUUGGUCAAUGGGCGCAAGCCUGAACCAGCCAUGCCGCGUGCAGGAUGACGGUCCUAUGGAUUGUAAACUGCUUUUGUACAGGAAGAAACAGUUCUACGUGUAGAACCUUGACGGUACUGUAAGAAUAAGGAUCGGCUAACUCCGUGCCAGCAGCCGCGGUAAUACGGAGGAUCCAAGCGUUAUCCGGAAUCAUUGGGUUUAAAGGGUCCGUAGGCGGUUUAGUAAGUCAGUGGUGAAAGCCCAUCGCUCAACGGUGGAACGGCCAUUGAUACUGCUAGACUUGAAUUAUUAGGAAGUAACUAGAAUAUGUAGUGUAGCGGUGAAAUGCUUAGAGAUUACAUGGAAUACCAAUUGCGAAGGCAGGUUACUACUAAUGGAUUGACGCUGAUGGACGAAAGCGUGGGUAGCGAACAGGAUUAGAUACCCUGGUAGUCCACGCCGUANACGAUGGAUACUAGCUGUUCGGAGCAAUCUGAGUGGCUAAGCGAAAGUGAUAAGUAUCCCACCUGGGGAGUACGUU